GACGAACGCUGGCGGCGUGCUUAACACAUGCAAGUCGAACGGAAAGGCCCUGCUUUUGUGGGGUGCUCGAGUGGCGAACGGGUGAGUAACACGUGAGUAACCUGCCCCUGACUUUGGGAUAACUUCAGGAAACUGGGGCUAAUACCGGAUAGGAGCUCCUGCUGCAUGGUGGGGGUUGGAAAGUUUCGGCGGUUGGGGAUGGACUCGCGGCUUAUCAGCUUGUUGGUGGGGUAGUGGCUUACCAAGGCUUUGACGGGUAGCCGGCCUGAGAGGGUGACCGGCCACAAUGGGACUGAGAUACGGCCCAGACUGCUACGGGAGGCAGCAGUGGGGAAUAUUGCACAAUGGGCGGAAGCCUGAUGCAGCAACGCCGCGUGCGGGAUGACGGCCUUCGGGUUGUAAACCGCUUUGGCCUGUGACGAAGCGUGAGUGACGGUAAUGGGUAAAGAAGCACCGGCUAACUACGUG
This 468-nucleotide ribosomal RNA is filed under the name uncultured bacterium. RNAcentral describes it as "partial 16S ribosomal RNA". It matches the Rfam family "Bacterial small subunit ribosomal RNA", at positions 28 to 507 of the family's 1533-position model. The record is from RNAcentral.